AGGAGGAGGAAAAAUAGUGAUGCAUAUAGAAGAGGAAACAGAGAUAGGGUAAUGAAAUGAGCCAGAGAGAGAGGCAUGUGGGAGAGACAGGCAGAGAGAUAACUACAGACAAUUGUCCAUCUUCAAAAGAACGACAAAGGAUAUGGUUAAAAGACCUCUUCUCCAAGACCAGAUCCCUGAGAUGGAUUCACCAUAGGAAUACUACUAUCAAUUUUUAUUUUGCUUUUUCAUGACCUGUUUUAAGGAAUA
Molecule: long non-coding RNA, 249 nt
Organism: Colossoma macropomum (tambaqui)
Lineage: Eukaryota; Metazoa; Chordata; Actinopteri; Characiformes; Serrasalmidae
Exons: 2
Source: RefSeq, a predicted model, not a curated record